Molecule: ribosomal RNA, 253 nt
Filed under: uncultured bacterium
Lineage: Bacteria
Description: partial 16S ribosomal RNA
Rfam family: Bacterial small subunit ribosomal RNA
Source: RNAcentral
UCCAGAGGGUGCGAGCGUUAACCGGAAUUACUGGGCGUAAAGCGCGCGUAGGCGGCUUUGCAAGUCGGGUGUGAAAUACCCAGGCUUAACCUGGGAACUGCAUUCGAGACUGCGUUGCUAGAGUAUGGGAGAGGGAAGUGGAAUUUCCGGUGUAGCGGUGAAAUGCGUAGAUACCGGAAGGAACAUCAGUGGCGAAAGCGACUUCCUGGAACAAUACUGACGCUCAUGUGCGAAAGCGUGGGGAGAAAACAGG